UUUUGGACUUCCAGCCUCCAAAACUGUAAGAAAAUAUUAAUAAAUUUUUGUUGUCUAAGCCACCUAGUCUGUGGUGUUGUGUUAGGGCAGCCCUAGCAUACACCACUAUCCCCUAUCUCAAGGCAAGUGUUGAAAGCAUCCUUCUCACACCUCAGUGUGUAUGCAUGAGACCUACAGACCAGAUCUUUCUUUUACACCUCCAGGAGAAGCAGGGGCUGCACUGAUGUGGAAAUAAGGGACGGAGGUGGAUGGAGCAGCACUCCAUGUAGAAGCACUUAGCAUCUGCUUGAUCAGCUUUUCUAUCAGGAACAUUUUAUCUUUGCCCUCCUGCCAAGAAGGAAAACGAACACAUGGAUGAAUGAUGGCGUGAGGUUGAGAAGCAACUGAUGGCAAAACGGCUGAUUUUCAGAUGGUGAUGGCCAGGGUGCACAGGACACCGGUGAAGGAUGGGAAAAAGAGCAAGAAGAUGAAGAAAGUCAUCAUCUGGGAGGCCCG
This is a non-coding RNA of Microcebus murinus (gray mouse lemur), 495 nucleotides long. The record is from RefSeq and is a predicted model, not a curated record. NCBI's taxonomy places the organism in Eukaryota, Metazoa, Chordata, Mammalia, Primates, Cheirogaleidae.